AAGUAGACAAGGGCGCAUGGGGGAUGCCUAGGUUCUCAGAGGCGAUGAAGGACGUGCUAAGCUGCGAAAAGCUACGGGGAACUGCACAGAAGUAUUGAUCCGUAGAUAUCCGAAUGGGGCAACCCGGCAGAUUGAAGAUCUGUCACCGAGAGGAGCAAACCCGGGGAACUGAAACAUCUAAGUACCCGGAGGAAAGGACAUCAACCGAGACUCCGCUAGUAGUGGCGAGCGAACGCGGACCAGGCCA
This 247-nucleotide ribosomal RNA is filed under the name uncultured Symbiodinium. Its description in RNAcentral is "partial Bacterial large subunit ribosomal RNA". It matches the Rfam family "Bacterial large subunit ribosomal RNA", at positions 1 to 271 of the family's 2925-position model. The record is from RNAcentral. Lineage: Eukaryota; Dinophyceae; Suessiales; Symbiodiniaceae.